Anguilla rostrata (American eel) is the source of this 582-nucleotide long non-coding RNA. RefSeq lists it as uncharacterized. The record is from RefSeq and is a predicted model, not a curated record. The transcript is spliced from 3 exons. Lineage: Eukaryota; Metazoa; Chordata; Actinopteri; Anguilliformes; Anguillidae.
UAUCCGUGCGACUGAUUGAUUUAGUGUAGUUCAGGACCACCAGCACAUCGUAAAUCGACACAAAUCCGUUUUUUUUCCCUCCAGAGAUUGAAAUAAAUAUAACCAAGCACAUGCUACGGUAGAGAAUGACGGUCCCAAAAAAACGUGAGAAAUCUUUUAUUUUUAAUCGCUAUAGAUAUUUUACAAUCAAUGAUUUUUAAAAAGUAAAUAGGAUUUUAACAUUGGGCUGUGACGUCACGAACCAGACGCACCUUGGAGGCAAUUUGACUUAAAAGCUCAAUUGGAAAGUGAAAGUGCAAAAGUACAACUCUGAGAGUGUUUCAAACUCAAACGCCAUUUCAAAGACGGACGAGAAAGAAAAGGGAGUAAAAGAUGGAAUAAAACUGAAAAAAGAACAGAGUAAGUUGGCUAGUUUGGGAUAGAACCCACAUGUGGUGUAAACUGGUCUGAUGUGUUCCAGUCUCCUGAGAUAGGGGGCGCUGUUUCUAAAAUGAGUCACUCAGGAGAGCCAGACACCAAAGGAGGAACCCUCAGCACUAACAGAAAGAGGGCCCAGGUAGAAAGAGCAGGGUCACCUGUACC